This 467-nucleotide ribosomal RNA is filed under the name uncultured bacterium. RNAcentral describes it as "partial 16S ribosomal RNA". It matches the Rfam family "Bacterial small subunit ribosomal RNA", at positions 36 to 507 of the family's 1533-position model. The record is from RNAcentral.
CCUCCCUCUUGCUGCGUGCUUAACACAUGCAAGUCGAACGGAAAGGCCCUGCUUUUGUGGGGUGCUCGAGUGGCGAACGGGUGAGUAACACGUGAGUAACCUGCCCUUGACUUUGGGAUAACUUCAGGAAACUGGGGCUAAUACCGGAUAGGAGCUCCUGCUGCAUGGUGGGGGUUGGAAAGUUUCGGCGGUUGGGGAUGGACUCGCGGCUUAUCAGCUUGUUGGUGGGGUAGUGGCUUACCAAGGCUUUGACGGGUAGCCGGCCUGAGAGGGUGACCGGCCACAUUGGGACUGAGAUACGGCCCAGACUCCUACGGGAGGCAGCAGUGGGGAAUAUUGCACAAUGGGCGGAAGCCUGAUGCAGCAACGCCGCGUGCGGGAUGACGGCCUUCGGGUUGUAAACCGCUUUCGCCUGUGACGAAGCGUGAGUGACGGUAAUGGGUAAAGAAGCACCGGCUAACUACGUG